CGUAAAUCGUUUUGUGUGGAUGGCCCCAGAGCAGCGUUACCCAGGUGCCAGGGGUGGGGCAGCCAGCCUUUGGAGGGAGGCCUAGUGUGAGCCGGGACGUCUUCACUGGCUCGUGUUUUCUCCAGUGAAUCUGACCAACUUUGUCCAUGCCUUUCAGGAUCACUUGCUGAGAGCAGAGAAGAGUGAGAGGACCAGUUAUCAGCAUAAAGCAGUCUGCUCUCGCUCCAGAAGGCACUUGUGUGUUCUGCUUACCGACAGGGUCAUGGUCAAGCCCCUGAUAUCUGGAGGUCGCAGGCCUGCUGGCUUUUGUGGCUGCUUGAAAUCCUCCUUUACUGCCUACUUUUUGGGAAGUACAAGUAGAGGGAGAGGAUGAAAGAGAAGCAGGAUCUGCACUGAGCAGGGAGCCAGAUGCAGGGCUGGAUCCCAGGACCCUGGACAGAUGCUGCACUGAGGGAGCCACCCAGACACCCUUUUAGACCUAGGAUGCAGAUGUGUGGAGGGCCAUGGAUGACUUGGAUGCAGUUGGGGUCAUCUCACGGCACAUGGAAUACACAAUUUAUCUUGCUUCCUGUCUUGAUAACGACAUCUUGGUUUUCAUGCUGUCUUAGAACAAGUAGAACUUGACUUACAUAGGUAGAGACUGAUGCAAAGGGAGAAGUUUGGUGGUUCUCCACUGGCCACAGCUAAGUUAGCAAAAAGCAAAAAGCAGAGCCUGCAUUGGAACCAGGCACUGUGGCUCCAGACCCCAACUCUUCACCCUUGGGCUUCUUGCAGCACGCCUACUUCCUUGUCACUAAGAACUUGGUGCAGGAGUUUAACGGUAAGAUCUGAAGGAGUCAAUCUGUUUCUUCUGUGGCUUUAAGCACUUCAGACAAACUUUGCAGAAGAGCAGGUGCUGAUUUUUGCUUGCCUCAUGCCUGGUUUCCCAGCGAUUAUGUCAUCCAGAGGGACCUGCAUGGUGGAGACACUCAUCAGUCCUAGCCCUGGUGUGGCGGAUGACAUCCCCCAUUUGAGACCAGCGCCAGUGUAUGUACAUUACUACCACUCAAGACAAUGAAAACAUUUAUAGUAUAAAAAUUCCAUACAUGGCAAUUCACAUUGUUUUUAUUAAAUGGAUUAUGAAAUUCUUUUUGGAAAAAAAGUAUCUAGCUAUAAUCCAAAACACUCAAAAUCGAAUUGCUGUACUGCCCCAAAUCAUACAGGAAUGAAAAGGACUCGUCAUUCCCCGGAAAAUCUGAAGAAAGAAGCCAGAGCAAGAGUAAGGGAGAAAGAGAGUGAGAGGAGCAUCUGAUGGGAUAGGAUUUCUUACAAAAGGACUCCUGAAAUGACCAGAGAAAACAGACCAACAGAAAAGGGCAGACUUUGACCAAGCGGUGCUCAACGACCUGAAUAUCCACAUGGAACAGAAGAGGUUUUAACGCUAUUCCCUACUGAUGUAGCCUACAUACUAAAGAGGACAUCAGAAGUUUUCUGGAAGAUACAAUAGAAAACCAUUUUGAGGACCUGGGGGAGGUGGCAGAGAUGAGUGGAACAGAACACCAAAAACAGAAAGCCCAAGAAAGCUUGGGUGCCGCUUCCAGUCGGCAACGAGAGAAGAAUUAGGCACGAACCAGUCAGCUGCAAAAGACUGGGAGCAGGGGACAACAGUCGAAAAGGACAGCUGCCAGGAGCAACUCCACAGUCUCACUUUUAUUGGAUAGAAAACAAUAGCCAAUAGAAGGAUUGAGGAAGGUCAAAUGUUAAUCCCACCUUGCUGACAAGCAAGAAGGAGGAUAAAGUUUAUAGUUAAACAAGCACAUUGAAAGAACUCUUCUAACUAACAACGGGCACUUCUGGGAAGAGAAAGGCUUGAUGGCGGAUAAGGGAGGCAGGCGGUUUUCAUUCCACCCUGAGCUGACCUGGCGUUCCCGGGUGCUCCGCUUUCCUGAAGCAGACGGCAUUCCGCCCUGGGCCGGCCGGGCUUCCAGCCAGCGCAGCUUCUGUGAGGGGGCUGCAUUCCGCCAUGAGCAAGCGAGGUAUCCCCCGCUGCCCAGCUUCUGUGAAGGGGCGGUGUUCCGCCCUGAGCGAGCUGGGCAUCCCCAGCUACCCAGCUUCACAGUCAUCUAUCAUCCUUUUCCCCAAAGACCUGUUUCCAGUAUAUGUAUUUCUAGAGGUCAUAUGUAAAUGUGCUUGGUAACUAGUAAAAUCCUCCAGGGGUUACAGUUUAAGUAACAAAUUGUUCCGAGGGGCACCAGCAGUUGGGAAGUUGGACUCUACUCAUUCCAAGGUUCCAAACAAAAAAAUAUUGCCCAACAAAUGACAAUACUAAAACUAUUAAAGGCUCUAUGGAGAUACCAGAUAAGGAACUGUAUACAACUCUAAAUAGGAGAACUAGGAAUCAAGAAGGAUAGAUAGGUAACUUCAAAACAAUGAAAAUCCUAGAGCAGAAAUAUCCCAAGGAGAAAACCAUCAGCCAAGAAACAUGAAAAGAUUCCUGAAAUCCUCAGUGAUCACAAAAGAGCAAAGGAAAGCACAAUGUGUUAGUGUUAACCCAAGGAGGCAGACCCCAAAGAGUGUUGCUUAAUCCAAUGGAUUGAAUCAUGAAAAACGGA
This is a long non-coding RNA of Mustela lutreola (European mink), 2591 nucleotides long. RefSeq lists it as uncharacterized. The record is from RefSeq and is a predicted model, not a curated record. Lineage: Eukaryota; Metazoa; Chordata; Mammalia; Carnivora; Mustelidae. The transcript has 7 exons.